Solanum pennellii is the source of this 1908-nucleotide long non-coding RNA. RefSeq lists it as uncharacterized. NCBI's taxonomy places the organism in Eukaryota, Viridiplantae, Streptophyta, Magnoliopsida, Solanales, Solanaceae. The record is from RefSeq and is a predicted model, not a curated record. The transcript is spliced from 3 exons.
GAAGGAGGAGAAGGACAAGGAGAUGGAGAAGCAGAAAGAAAAAGCGAAAGUGAAAAAUAAAGAGAAGAAAUUCAAAGUUUUCAAUUGUGAUGUGAAGAGAAACUAUAUAUUUGAAGGUUUUAACAUUGACGGGGAAGGUCCAGCUGAACUAAUGUCAUCCUUCUCGCAAUGGAUGAAUAAAGGUCUUACAAGCAUCAUGCAAAAAAAUACAAAUAUAAUGACUCUUGUCAAAUGAAAAAUUGAUAGAACUGACACAACAAAGAUCCUAAAGAAGGAUAGGACUAAAUCUAUUAGGAAUAAAAAAAAAUACCACUCUUUUAGAAGAACUUGCAUCGGAAGCAGUUUAUUCUUCUCAAGUAGAAGCAGAAUUUUCUCAAAAAGAAUAUGAAGAAGGAGAAAAAGAAAAAAAUGAAGUUGUUGAUGAUGGAGAAAGAGCAGAACAAGUUGAGGAGGAAGAUAAAAGUGAAAAUGGAGAAGUAGUUGAGGAAGAAGGAGGGAAAAUAGUGAAGUAGUUGUGCAUAGAGAAGAAAAAGAAAAAAAUGAAGCUGAGGAUGAUUAUGGGAUUAAAUUAUCAAUGCAGACACUUUCCUUGUGCAUCUGCAACCUAAUGCUCAUGGUGAUAGCAUUAUUAGGCUAAUGGUGAUAGCAUUAUUAAGCCAGUCAUAGGAAAAUCUUUCAUCAACUUCAGGGGUAUCCUAAUGAGAAAUAAUUUGGAAGACUUUUUUAGAAAUAAUUGGUUAGGUCAUUUUCUUGACAUACCUGAUGAUACAACUACAGGUUUUUAAAUGACUAUCGUUUAUGAACUUCUGAAAAGAAGGUUCAUUUUUUAAAAUCCGGAAAAGGAGAAUGAGAUUUUGAUUAAUUAUUGUGGCAUGCCUGUUUUUUUUUUGGCAGAAGAGAGUUUGACGUAGUUACAUGGUUGAAAUUUCAUUCUUCUCUUGAGCCCCUCCCUGAAUACAUUGUCAAAAAAGAAUCACGGAGAAGAAAUAAAGGAGUAAAAGAAGAAGCAAGACAACAUUCAUUGUCAACUCAGGAGCAUAAUUUAAUGUCCCUUGUUGGCAAAAGCUCGAAAAUUCUCACUUAAUAUUUUUGUACACGAGGAUACACCAAAUAAGUACAAGGAGUCAUUGUGCUUACUUUGGUUUACACGUAAUAUACUUUUGGCGAAAGAUCUCAACAACAUAUUGCUUAAAUGGGUGAAUUUUUGUCAUGAUAUUAAGUUUUUGAUCAAAUAUCCUUGGGGUCAUUACAGCUUUCAAUUAACUCGCAGAUACUUAAAGAAACCUUUAGGAGCAAAGACCAGUAACUUGUUUGGGUUUCCAUGGACUUUCAUGGCUUGAUAUUUGAAAUCAUUACUCAUUUGACCCAUCAACUAUAUCAAGAAGAACAGAUGUCAUCUCCAAGGAUAUUUAGAUGGUUGAGAUCAAAAAUAAAAUCUACAAAAGAUGAGCAUAUUCCAGAUCUUUUUAACCCUCCUCUGGAUGCAGUAACUUAUUAGUAUAUUACACUCUUAUGUUGUUACAGAUGACUCUUAUGUUGCUAUAGAUGAUUCAUCUUUUGCAACAUAUGACAGAAAUGUUGCUACAGAUGCCUAUAUGUGUUAAGUUAUCACACAUCUGUAACAACAUAUGACACAUAUGUUGCAACAUAUCACCCUUCUGUAGCGGCAUAUGGAAAAACUAUGUCAACAUGUGACACAAAUUUUACUACAGAUGCCUAUAUGUGUCAACCCAUCAAACAUAUGUAGCAAUAUAUGACACAUAUGUGACAAUAUAUCACUCAUCUUUAGCGACAUAUGCCAUAUCUAUAGCAACAUAUAACCCAAAUAUUCUUCUGGAUGGCUCAUUUUUAUAAUUUUAGGUUGUGCAUUCAUGGCUUGUCCCAAUAGAAAACGAAUUGCAAAUGUCA